This is a long non-coding RNA of Prionailurus viverrinus (fishing cat), 1088 nucleotides long. RefSeq lists it as uncharacterized. The record is from RefSeq and is a predicted model, not a curated record. The transcript has 9 exons. NCBI's taxonomy places the organism in Eukaryota, Metazoa, Chordata, Mammalia, Carnivora, Felidae.
AGAAAUUCUGAAAGGAUUGCAAAAGCAAAAGCAGGACCCAGGUGAUGGGGCUGGGACAAAGGAGGAAUUUCAGGAGGAGAAAACAGUGGCUCAGAGAUUGAAGCUUAAUAUCCUGCUUUUCAUAAAGUCAAAAUAGCACCAAAACAGAACUCAAAGAACACUGGACUGAACUCCAAAAAAAACCAUACAACUCUUCCCAGACCAUUACCUAUUCACACAGCAGACUUGAUAAGAAGAAAAAAAUGACACACUAUCAAAUUUCCAUUUAUGUAGAUGAUAAGAUCAAGGUGGAAGAGAAGAAACAAUGAGAAAGUAGAGUGUUUGGAGACCAUGGAACUGUCUGGGGGUUCUCUAUUCUCCCGUAUACACUGAGGAGAUUCUAGACUGUAUUUGAACAGAGAUAGGAGAAUAAAAGAUAAACAUGGAGCCUAAAGCACUGUUCAGAUGACAUCAUAACUGUGUCUAACAAAGGGUGGAAAGUAACUCAGAAAUUUUCAAGAAAGUGAUUAGAAGAAAUUGCUGAUCUGCUGCUGUAGAUGGAUACAGAUGUCUGUUCCCAGAAGAAGCAGACCCAUCUGUGUACACUGCAGCUUCAUUGCUCUGGGACAGCUUCCUGCUGAAUGCAACACAGCUAAAUCUAGAGCAAAUUGAUUGUAAACUGAAAGAAACCCAAAGGUUGAUGGUGUUACUGAGAAAGGAGGCAUGGAUUACAUAAAGGAGAAAACGAAGGUGGGAUCAAGGCACCAACCUGCUGCCUCAGCUGGCAGGGUCACUUGUGUGUUCCAGGCUUGAGAUUCUUUGUAUAGCUGCAGGGUUGUGGUCUUUCCUGAACUUCUGACUUAUAACAUUCCCAGAAGACACGUGAUACUAGUAAUAACAAGAAAACACAAGUACUAUAGAAACUGGAUAUUUUUCUGAGUAUGUUAAGAUUCCUAACUUUAAGAGACAUUUGAAUUUGUCCACAAAGUUUCUCUUAUUUUUUAUUGAAGGUCAGGUAUCAUGAAGCUAUGGUUUAAGGGACAUAUCUAACCUGUUGCCUGCUUUUGUAUAUAGAGUGGAGCCAGUAAAAUAAAGAUGGUUUAAAUUUU